RNAcentral lists this transfer RNA (70 nucleotides) under uncultured Chlamydomonas. RNAcentral's name for it is "partial Selenocysteine transfer RNA". The record is from RNAcentral. Lineage: Eukaryota; Viridiplantae; Chlorophyta; Chlorophyceae; Chlamydomonadales; Chlamydomonadaceae.
GCUGUGGUCUAGAUUGCUAUCAGUCUUGCCGAAACACGUCAUCCGUGGAGACCUGGCACCUUGGCUUGAA